Molecule: ribosomal RNA, 375 nt
Filed under: uncultured organism
Description: partial 16S ribosomal RNA
Rfam family: Bacterial small subunit ribosomal RNA
Source: RNAcentral
GUAGGUGGCAAGCGUUGUCCGGAAUUAUUGGGCGUAAAGCGCGCGCAGGCGGUUCUUUAAGUCUGAUGUGAAAGCCCACGGCUCAACCGUGGAGGGUCAUUGGAAACUGGAGAACUUGAGUACAGAAGAGGAAAGCGGAAUUCCACGUGUAGCGGUGAAAUGCGUAGAGAUGUGGAGGAACACCAGUGGCGAAGGCGGCUUUUCUGGUCUGUAACUGACGCUGAGGCGCGAAAGCGUGGGGAGCAAACAGGGAUUAGAUACCCUGGUAGUCCACGCCGUAAACGAUGAGUGCUAAGUGUUAGGGGGUUUCCGCCCCCCUUAGUGCUGCAGCUAACGCAUUAAGCACUCCGCCUGGGGAGUACGGCCGCAAGGCUG